Molecule: ribosomal RNA, 547 nt
Filed under: bacterium enrichment culture clone Cont103_3130
Lineage: Bacteria
Description: bacterial SSU rRNA
Rfam family: Bacterial small subunit ribosomal RNA
Source: RNAcentral
AGAGUUUGAUCCUGGCUCAGAACGAACGCUGGCGGCGCGCUUAACACAUGCAAGUCGAGCGAGAAAAGUUGGGGCUUCGGCCUGGCGAGUAAAGCGGCGCACGGGUGAGUAACACGUGAGUAACCUCUCCCCAAACCUGGGAUAACACCGCGAAAGUGGUGCUAAUACCGGAUAAGACCACGCCUUCUUCGGCGGGCGCGGUCAAAGGUUGCCUAUCCAAGGAAGCUGCUGUUUGGGGUGGGCUCGCGGCCCAUUAGCUUGUUGGUAGGGUAAUGGCCUACCAAGGCGACGAUGGGUAGCUGGUCUGAGAGGACGACCAGCCACACUGGAACUGGAACACGGUCCAGACUCCUACGGGAGGCAGCAGUGGGGAAUAUUGCACAAUGGGGGAAACCCUGAUGCAGCAACGCCGCGUGGAUGAUGAAGGCCUUCGGGUCGUAAAAUCCUGUCAGAUGGAAAGAAGUGCAUAGUGGGUUAAUACCCGCUAUGUUUGACGGUACCAUCGAAGGAAGCACCGGCUAACUCCGUGCCAGCAGCCGCGGUAAUA